Equus caballus (horse) is the source of this 2086-nucleotide long non-coding RNA. The record is from Ensembl. NCBI's taxonomy places the organism in Eukaryota, Metazoa, Chordata, Mammalia, Perissodactyla, Equidae.
ACAGGAGGAAGUUAAUGCACCAUCACUGCCUUCAAGCUGGUGGGCGCCACAAAACAUGGAAUCAGGUGGGCUCUAGAGGGGAGAGGGUUUCCCAGCUGACAGCCAUCGGGGAAGAGAGGAUUUCAGUCCCGAAACCGCAAGAACAGAAUUUGGCUAACAACCUAAGUGAGCUUGGAAGUGGAAUUUUCUCUCAAAGCCUCUAGUUUGUGUGAUGCUAAACAAAGGACCCAGUGGUGCUCACCUGGACUUAUGAACUAUAGAACUGUGAUGUGGAACUUGAGCCAGUUAUUUAACUUCCUCUCUCUCAUUGUCUUCCUCUGGAAAAGGGAGAUAUCUCACUUUGGGACCAGGAAUUUCAUCAAAUAAACUACUGAAGAGUUUUACUACUCCUUCAUCUUCCAAGCAGAGAUGAGCAAAACUCAGAUAAGCAAAAUCGAUGCUCAUAGGCUGUAUUGAAAAAGUGCUUAAAAACUCAAGCCAAUGCGUAAAUCUACCUUGGAUUAGUAUGUACCGUGAAAAAGACAGAAAAAAAGAUUGCUGAAACUUGCAGGGAAAUAUUUCAGUACCAAACACUGAAAGAAGAGUUGUUUUAUUCUUGAAAUUGAAGUAUCCAUAGCUAGUGCAUGAGAAGAGUUAUAAGAAUGUUUUUGGCAAGCUCUCUUGAAUCCAAAGCAAAUUGUAGGCCUCAGGGAUGAAUUUUGAUUAUGUACUGGAUUUCAAAGCUCCGGCUCACCUGUGGUUCUAUUCUAAAGAUGAAGAGCAGAGCAAAACUCCCAAAAGAACUUCUCUCUCAGUGCAUCUGAAGCAUUUUCUCCAGUUGCCCAGACAUCGCUUAGGGAUAAUUUGCAGAUUGAGGUACCGUUGUCAAGAAGUAGGGAUGACACUUCAACAAAAUGUAAAUGUUAUCAAAUGACACCAUUUAUACUUGCUGUGGAUUUGAGGUAUAUUUAAAGUAUAAAUAAAAAAUUUAACUAUGAGAUCUCCAAUGUUGACCCCAAGUGUCAAAAAAACCCCAAACAAUUACAACCCCAAAACAGAGAAUAAAUUUGUUCUAUUUCUUAAUCAACAUGUUAGGUCUCUUAACAGAAUGUAUAUGGGAGAAAAGUACUUCCAUUCUUCCAAGUACUGAAAGAGGUUCCUGUGCUGAAAGGCUUUUAUAUAUUCUAACUUUAACUUACGAUAUCUGUCAGGAAUAUGUUAUAAAUGUAUCACAAUAUGCAUACUAAAGGACUGAAGAAGCUGAAUGUCUCUGCAUAUUUUCAUAGAUAAUCAAAUUUGUUCUUUUCUCUUUUGGAAUUUUUCCAGGUCUGGAAUUUAAAAACAAAACAAAACAAAACUUCCAUCUGUAAAAGCAAAUUCAAUAGAGGUACUAAAAUGUACAAUAAUUGACUCAAAUUACUACUUCAAAGCUACUUUAUAGGCUUUCCUCAAGAUAGACACUAAGAGCUAAGCAUUCACUGAUUUUCCCUAUAGAAUCAUGCAACUCUUAUCAUCACUUUAUCAAUUUAUAAUGAUUUUCUGACAGUAAAAGGCAGAAAGGGAAUAGCACUACUCUACCCUAAUAAUAGUGUUCAGGGUCACUGAGAAAUUUUAAUGGUUAUAAACCAAAUUAUGGGAUUAAAGAGGUCAGAGGGAGCAAAUUGUUUUAUAUUCUGGUUUAUACUUCUCAUUUCAAGAACCUCAUGAAAUAAAAACUAUCUUUGAAGCAGUCAUAAAAUGUGAAAUUUAUCAGGCAAGGAAAUGAAAUUUUGUUUUUAAUUUACCUACUUCAAGGAAAAAAUUAUCCCUUCUCUAUGUUGCAUCUUCAGUAGACUAUCAUAAAAUUGAAACUGUUUUCCAUUAUAAUUUCCUCAUUUACUUUAUGAUUGAUUAUUCAUAUAUUUUUCUUUCCAUAUGUUAAAUGAAGCAUCUUUUAAAAUAAUGGAAAAUAUAUUUUGCCAUUAAUGUAUGCAAUACAUUUUGAACAUGAAAUCCAGUAAAUAAAACAAAAGCUUUCAAUUAAAUUACAUCUAAACUUUCAUUAAUUGUUCUUAAAUAUUCUAUUUAGUAACCUUGAUACUGGCUUAACACAAGGUUGACAUGCGAG